Molecule: long non-coding RNA, 601 nt
Organism: Homo sapiens (human)
Lineage: Eukaryota; Metazoa; Chordata; Mammalia; Primates; Hominidae
Source: Ensembl
CCACUGAAUGUCUGCAGAGACCGGCCAGAUGAGGGGAUGAUGGAGUUGCCUGCUUGACUCGUUCCUGUACUUUUAUCCCAACAAAACAUGACACACACCGAGAUGUGAAAGCUGUCGACUUUUCUUUGUAAAUGUUUCUACCCAGGAAGACAUGAUUUCACCCACCAUGAAGCCUUCUGGAAGCACAUUCCUCUGACGCUGCAGCAGCGCGGUGGGAAGGGCCUCCAGCAAACAGAUGGGACGAGUGAAGAUAAAAUGAUCAUCUAUUUGAAUGCAGUGGUGGUCCUGGCUCAACAAAUUCACUGGGAAGAGCUUUUUGACAUUCUCAGCUCCCCCUCUAUUUUCAUCACUCCCUGCAUCUGCUUUCUAUGAACCCCACACCCCACACUCACUACUGGGACUUCUCCCUUGCUAGGGAAGCUACUAUCACUGACUCAUGACUACCUGGCUGCUGAAAGUCUUUUGCCCAGGUCUCUGCACUGUCAACAUCAAGCUGAGGUUUAAUUCCAUACUUGGUCAGUUCAUUGUGGCCAUCUCCCAAAAAAAAUUUUUUUUUUGAGACAGUCUCAUUCUGUCACCCAGGAUGGAGUGCAGUGAUGUG